RNAcentral lists this long non-coding RNA (2308 nucleotides) under Canis lupus familiaris (dog). RNAcentral's name for it is "lncRNA (ENSCAFG00030016044.1)". Lineage: Eukaryota; Metazoa; Chordata; Mammalia; Carnivora; Canidae. The record is from RNAcentral.
AUGAGGGAGGGAACGGCUCCCCGCCUCAGUUUCCCCUCCUGCCGCGGGAGAAACCAGAAGGACCCCAUUCUUCCGUCCCCGGGGAAGUCCCCGCCAGGUGAACGGCGGCAACUAGUCCUCCCACCUCGCCCCCGCGGGACCCCUGCUUCCCGGGGUCCCUGUCCCACACCGCCGCCCCGUGGCGGCCUCGGGGACCGCAGGCGGCGGGCGCCCAGCCGAGGCCCCCCCAGCCGCCGCCCUCCCCGCCGAGCGCCUGCACCCCGAGCGCCCGCCAGCUCCGUGUCCAGGCCUGAGGCCCGCGCCGCCCUCCCUGCGCCCCAAGGCUUCCCACGGCGGUCACGCUCCCCUCCACCAACGCCCCCAGCGGGCGCCUGCACAGGGUGUCAGGUGCUCCGCCGCCACCGCGGGGCAGGACUCGGCCGCGGAGACCUGGCCGGAAGAAAACAAGGCCUUAUCCGGAGCAGAGCAGAUGGGAACAGAGAGAUUUUUCCAACAGAGGCUGACCAGGUUUGGGGGCCUAUGGGUGUGUGCUAAGGGUGGGAAGAGAGUCUUAUUAUCUCUCCCUGCUCUUGGGCAGAGAUAUCCCCAUGCUGGAGUUUUGGGUGCUCUGGGAUCUGGGAGGGCAGCUGUGACCACAGCAAAGGGCCACAUCCCUUGGCACUCAGGGCCCCUGGGGUGAUAGGGGAGCCCAGCAACAUCUCCACGUUCACUCUGGGUCUCUCUGAAUCAGCCCUUACUUUCAAGUCCCGCCUCCUCCAGGCAGCCUUCCUGACUGUACCAGCCAGUAUAGGGAGGGGAAGGAAUGCUCAUUACAUGCCAGGCUUACUAGGUGCCCACUGCUGGGUCUGGCACGGUCACACUUUUCAAAAAUCUAACUUACUCCUCCAAUUCCCCUGGAGGAAGGUAUUUCAUACCAUUUUACAGGUGAGACAAAUGAGGCAGAGAGAGACGAAGUGACUUACCCAAGACCACACAGGGAUCAGUGGUGGGGAUUUAUCUCUAUGAGGACUCUGAACCUCCUUUGUUUUCACCUUAGGACUCUCUCUGAGGGCCCAAUUCCCCCAUAGCAGAGUUCCUGCUGCUCAGACACUCAGCGCAGGGUGACCCUGGCUCACCUGGCCUGCUCUUCUUGUCUCUCUGGGCCUCACUGACCUCAUCUGUGAAAUGGAUGGAUUCUCACCCGUGGCAGUAAGGACGUGAGGGCAUCCCGGGUGUGAGGGCAUCUGCAGCUUCAGUCCUCCAGGACCCCUCCGCCUGGCCUCCCCAGCCAGACCCCUCCAGCUCAGAAGGCCCCACACAAGCUCAGCAUCCUCUGAUCUGCUCCUCUUUCCAGGUACCGUCCAGCCCCAUGACCCCAUCACCUUGGCCGGAAGCCUGAGCUCUCCCAGCCGUCACUGGUCCUCACCCUCCCACCCCCGCCCUCACAGGCACUAAGUCUGAAGCUUCUCCCAGCAAAGUGCUCAGCUGGCUUCUGCUCCCACAAAGCUUCAAGCUCCCCAAGGGGAGCCCACCUCAGUGUCUGAGUUUGGAUUAUAACAAGAAUACCAUGGACUGGGUGGUUUGAACAUCAAAUAUUUAUUUCUCACAGUUCUGGAGGCUGAGAAUCCAAGAUCAAGGUGCCAGCAGAUUCGGGAUCUGGUGAGGCCUGCUUCCUGGUUCACAUCUCCUCCCGGUGUCCUCGCACAGCAGCACAGCAAACAGAGGAGGGAGCUCUCUGGGGUGUCCUUUAUAAGGGCGCUAAUCCUAUGCGUGGUGGUUCCACCCUCAUGACUUAAUCACUUCCAACCACUCCCCCGCCCAGUACCAUCACUGGGGUUAGGAUUUCAACAUAUGAGUUUGGGGGGAUGCAAACAUUCAAUUCACUAGAGUCAAGUCCACUCAGAAAACAGCAGGAGAACAAGUGAACAUCCCAAUAGCAGGUGCUGAUGAGACCGUCCUGGUUCUGUCCGGGACACGCAGGGGUCUUGGAAGAUCUCUUCUCAUUUGGGACAAGGUGCUGGUGGAACAGACUACCCGCUGGGGCCCCACCUUCCUGUCCCCAACUCUGCCCACAUCCAACAUGCUCAGGAGGGUGGGUGUACAUCCAGCCUGGUGGGGACCCCGCGUGGGCUGGGAGGGCUCAUCUCUGUACCAAAGAGGAGAUGGACUCCAGCACAUGGGGCGUGCAGGGCUGAAUGUCUGCAGUGAGUCCACAGAACAAGAGGCUUCAGCCUCACACACAAGCCGAGGGAGGGAGGUGAGAGAGUUCCCAGUCCCACCGGGCACUUCCUCCCGGCCCUCGUCACUUUGGCUGUCACAGCUGUGAGCC